RNAcentral lists this ribosomal RNA (253 nucleotides) under uncultured bacterium. RNAcentral's name for it is "partial 16S ribosomal RNA". It matches the Rfam family "Bacterial small subunit ribosomal RNA", at positions 524 to 776 of the family's 1533-position model. The record is from RNAcentral.
UACGUAGGGGGCAAGCGUUAUCCGGAUUUACUGGGUGUAAAGGGAGCGUAGACGGCAGCGCAAGUCUGGAGUGAAAUCCCAUGGCUUAACCAUGGAACUGCUUUGGAAACUGUGCAGCUGGAGUGCAGGAGAGGUAAGCGGAAUUCCUAGUGUAGCGGUGAAAUGCGUAGAUAUUAGGAGGAACACCAGUGGCGAAGGCGGCUUACUGGACUGUAACUGACGUUGAGGCUCGAAAGCGUGGGGAGCAAACAGG